UGGCUCAGGAUGAACGCUAGCUACAGGCUUAACACAUGCAAGUCGAGGGGCAGCGGGAAGUUAGCUUGCUAACUUGCCGGCGACCGGCGCACGGGUGAGUAACGCGUAUCCAACCUUCCCCUUAGUAGGGCAUAGCCCGGCGAAAGUCGGAUUAAUACCCUAUGUUAUCCGAAGAUGGCAUCUGAAUUGGAUUAAGAUUUAUCGCUAAGGGAUGGGGAUGCGUCUGAUUAGGUAGUCGGCGGGGUAACGGCCACCGAGCCAGCGAUCAGUAGGGUCUGAGAGGAAGGUCCCCCACAUUGGUACUGAGACACGGACCAAACUCCUACGGGAGGCAGCAGUGAGGAAUAUUGGUCAAUGGGCGAGAGCCUGAACCAGCCAAGUAGCGUGCCAGGAAGACGGCCCUAUGGGUUGUAAACUGCUUUUGCAGGGGAAUAAAGUGAGGCACGUGUGCCUUUUUGUAUGUACCCUGAGAAUAAGGACCGGCUAAUUCCGUGCCAGCAGCUGC
This 505-nucleotide ribosomal RNA is filed under the name uncultured bacterium. RNAcentral describes it as "bacterial SSU rRNA". It matches the Rfam family "Bacterial small subunit ribosomal RNA", at positions 20 to 518 of the family's 1533-position model. The record is from RNAcentral.